RNAcentral lists this ribosomal RNA (891 nucleotides) under uncultured bacterium. Its description in RNAcentral is "bacterial SSU rRNA". It matches the Rfam family "Bacterial small subunit ribosomal RNA", at positions 74 to 941 of the family's 1533-position model. The record is from RNAcentral.
CUUGCAUUCACCGUAAGAAGUUGAGUGGCGGACGGGUGAGUAACACGUGGGUAACCUGCCUAAAAGAAGGGGAUAACACUUGGAAACAGGUGCUAAUACCGUAUAUCUCUAAGGAUCGCAUGAUUCUUAGAUGAAAGAUGGUUCUGCUAUCGCUUUUAGAUGGACCCGCGGCGUAUUAACUAGUUGGUGGGGUAACGGCCUACCAAGGUGAUGAUACGUAGCCGAACUGAGAGGUUGAUCGGCCACAUUGGGACUGAGACACGGCCCAAACUCCUACGGGAGGCAGCAGUAGGGAAUCUUCCACAAUGGACGCAAGUCUGAUGGAGCAACGCCGCGUGAGUGAAGAAGGUCUUCGGAUCGUAAAACUCUGUUGUUAGAGAAGAACACGAGUGAGAGUAACUGUUCAUUCGAUGACGGUAUCUAACCAGCAAGUCACGGCUAACUACGUGCCAGCAGCCGCGGUAAUACGUAGGUGGCAAGCGUUGUCCGGAUUUAUUGGGCGUAAAGGGAACGCAGGCGGUCUUUUAAGUCUGAUGUGAAAGCCUUCGGCUUAACCGGAGUAGUGCAUUGGAAACUGGAAGACUUGAGUGCAGAAGAGGAGAGUGGAACUCCAUGUGUAGCGGUGAAAUGCGUAGAUAUAUGGAAGAACACCAGUGGCGAAAGCGGCUCUCUGGUCUGUAACUGACGCUGAGGUUCGAAAGCGUGGGUAGCAAACAGGAUUAGAUACCCUGGUAGUCCACGCCGUAAACGAUGAAUGCUAGGUGUUGGAGGGUUUCCGCCCUUCAGUGCCGCAGCUAACGCAAAUAAGCAUUUCCGCCUGGGGAGUACGACCGCCAAGGUUGAAACUCAAAAGGGAAUUGACCGGGGGCCCCCCACAAGCGGUGGAGCAUG